This 608-nucleotide ribosomal RNA is filed under the name uncultured freshwater bacterium. RNAcentral's name for it is "bacterial SSU rRNA". It matches the Rfam family "Bacterial small subunit ribosomal RNA", at positions 8 to 607 of the family's 1533-position model. The record is from RNAcentral.
AGAGUUUGAUCCUGGCUCAGGAUGAACGCUAGCGGCAGGCUUAAUACAUGCAAGUCGAGGGGUAGCAUGAUUGUAGCAAUACAAUUGAUGACGACCGGCAAACGGGUGCGGAACACGUACACAACCUUCCUACAAGUGGGGAAUAGCCCAGAGAAAUUUGGAUUAAUACCCCGUAACAUAGCGAUGUGGCAUCACAUUGCUAUUAUAGCUUCGGCGCUUGUUGAUGGGUGUGCGGCUGAUUAGAUAGUUGGCGGGGUAACGGCCCACCAAGUCUACGAUCAGUAGCUGAUGUGAGAGCAUGAUCAGCCACACGGGCACUGAGACACGGGCCCGACUCCUACGGGAGGCAGCAGUAAGGAAUAUUGGACAAUGGACGCAAGUCUGAUCCAGCCAUGCCGCGUGAAGGAUUAAGGUCCUCUGGAUUGUAAACUUCUUUUAUAAGGGACGAAAAAAGGUCUUUCUAGAUCGUCUGACGGUACCUUAUGAAUAAGCACCGGCUAACUCCGUGCCAGCAGCCGCGGUAAUACGGAGGGUGCAAGCGUUAUCCGGAUUCACUGNGUUUAAAGGGUGCGUAGGCGGGCAGGUAAGUCAGUGGUGAAAUCCUAGAG